GUGGGCACAGCUCAGUGGUAGAGCACGUGCUUAGCAUGCACAAGGUCCUGGGUUCAAUCCCCAGUACCUCCU
RNAcentral lists this transfer RNA (72 nucleotides) under Camelus bactrianus (Bactrian camel). It matches the Rfam family "tRNA". Rfam says of the family: Transfer RNA (tRNA) molecules are approximately 80 nucleotides in length. Their secondary structure includes four short double-helical elements and three loops (D, anti-codon, and T loops). RNAcentral also lists the same sequence under 2 other names. Lineage: Eukaryota; Metazoa; Chordata; Mammalia; Artiodactyla; Camelidae. The record is from Rfam by way of RNAcentral.